AUUGAACGCUGGCGGCAUGCCUUACACAUGCAAGUCGAACGGCAGCACGGGUGCUUGCACCUGGUGGCGAGUGGCGAACGGGUGAGUAAUACAUCGGAACAUGUCCUGUAGUGGGGGAUAGCCCGGCGAAAGCCGGAUUAAUACCGCAUACGAUCUACGGACGAAAGCGGGGGACCUUCGGGCCUCGCGCUAUAGGGUUGGCCGAUGGCUGAUUAGCUAGUUGGUGGGGUAAAGGCCUACCAAGGCGACGAUCAGUAGCUGGUCUGAGAGGACGACCAGCCACACUGGGACUGAGACACGGCCCAGACUCCUACGGGAGGCAGCAGUGGGGAAUGUGGGACAAUGGGCGAAAGCCUGAUCCAGCAAUGCCGCGUGUGUGAAGAAGGCCUUCGGGUUGUAAAGCACUUUUGUCCGGAAAGAAAUCCUUGGCCCUAAUACGGUCGGGGGAUGACGGUACCGGAAGAAUAAGCACCGGCUAACUACGUG
RNAcentral lists this ribosomal RNA (486 nucleotides) under uncultured bacterium. RNAcentral describes it as "partial 16S ribosomal RNA". It matches the Rfam family "Bacterial small subunit ribosomal RNA", at positions 29 to 507 of the family's 1533-position model. The record is from RNAcentral.